GUGCAAAACCCUAAUCAGUGGCGGCUGUGCCUCUAAAACCCUAAUCAGUGGCUGCAUGUACAUCUAUAAGCUGUCUGUGUUAUAGCUCUGGCGGUGCCUCCCAAUGGCAGGCGUUACGAGUAAGGAGCGAAAACUCCUUUAUCGCUUUGUUACUUGGACCUACAUUUGAACAUCUCCCUCUAUGUGGAUUCAAUAUUUAGAGGAUUCAUCAUUGUCUAAAUACUAAAUGAUGAAUCCUCUAAUACUAAAUCCAACUUAGUGGUUUAGCAUAGGGUAUAGAGGAGCUUUGAGUCUCUGUAUAAUGUGUUUGGUUUACAACGAAGCUCACGGAAUCGGACGGAUACUGCGCCGUCAUAUGUCUCCAACAGAACUGGGUAUUGGUGUUAAAUUGAAGAGUCGAGGUUACUCUGAAAGCUAGCAGGUCCAUGUCUCAGCUUGACUCAGUAUUAUGAUUCACUAUCCGAGGGCAUGCGACUGAGUGUUAGAUUGCAUCAGAAGCAUGAAAUGUACUAUAUGAUCUGUAGAUGGUAGAAUAGAAGAUUCUUUAUGGCAUCAACUCACGCUGGGAAGGGUAACGUGUUUCACAAGACCUCCAUUGCCUAGCAGUACAUGACACAUCUCUAAUCUCUGUAUAAUUUUAUUCUGUAACUAUGUUUACAUUUAUUCUGCAAUUAGGUUUACAUGUGAACAGAACAGUGCAAAUAGGAAAAAGGAAUUCAGAGAGUUCUCAUAUUCUCUUUGUGACAUUAUUCAUGAGUGGUGCUGAAAUUAAGUAUUUCAUCUUGUGUUGAAUUAAAACAAGGAAAUAUGACUCAUUGCCUUUA
This is a long non-coding RNA of Nicotiana tabacum (common tobacco), 824 nucleotides long. RefSeq lists it as uncharacterized. The record is from RefSeq and is a predicted model, not a curated record. NCBI's taxonomy places the organism in Eukaryota, Viridiplantae, Streptophyta, Magnoliopsida, Solanales, Solanaceae.